RNAcentral lists this ribosomal RNA (496 nucleotides) under uncultured bacterium. RNAcentral describes it as "partial 16S ribosomal RNA". It matches the Rfam family "Bacterial small subunit ribosomal RNA", at positions 28 to 506 of the family's 1533-position model. The record is from RNAcentral.
GAUGAACGCUGGCGGCGUGCCUAAUACAUGCAAGUCGAGCGAACAGACGAGGAGCUUGCUCCUCUGACGUUAGCGGCGGACGGGUGAGUAACACGUGGAUAACCUACCUAUAAGACUGGGAUAACUUCGGGAAACCGGAGCUAAUACCGGAUAAUAUAUUGAACCGCAUGGUUCAAUAGUGAAAGACGGUUUUGCUGUCACUUAUAGAUGGAUCCGCGCCGCAUUAGCUAGUUGGUAAGGUAACGGCUUACCAAGGCAACGAUGCGUAGCCGACCUGAGAGGGUGAUCGGCCACACUGGAACUGAGACACGGUCCAGACUCCUACGGGAGGCAGCAGUAGGGAAUCUUCCGCAAUGGGCGAAAGCCUGACGGAGCAACGCCGCGUGAGUGAUGAAGGUCUUCGGAUCGUAAAACUCCGUUAUUAGGGAAGAACAAAUGUGUAAGUAACGAUGCACGUCUUGACGGUACCUAAUCAGAAAGCCACGGCUAACUACGU